GACGAACGCUGGCGGCGUGCUUAACACAUGCAAGUCGAGCGGUAAGGCCCUUUCGGGGGUACACGAGCGGCGAACGGGUGAGUAACACGUGGGUGACCUGCCCUUAGCUCUGGGAUAAGCCUGGGAAACUGGGUCUAAUACCGGAUAUGACUCCAUGACGCAUGUUGUGGGGUGGAAAGCCUUGUGCGGCUAGGGAUGGGCCCGCGGCCUAUCAGCUUGUUGGGUGGGGUGAUGGCCUACCAAGGCGACGACGGGUAGCCGGCCUGAGAGGGCGACCGGCCACACUGGGACUGAGACACGGCCCAGACUCCUACGGGAGGCAGCAGUGGGGAAUCUUGCGCAAUGGGCGAAAGCCUGACGCAGCGACGCCGCGUGGGGAUGACGGCCU
This 388-nucleotide ribosomal RNA is filed under the name uncultured bacterium. RNAcentral describes it as "bacterial SSU rRNA". It matches the Rfam family "Bacterial small subunit ribosomal RNA", at positions 28 to 417 of the family's 1533-position model. The record is from RNAcentral.